CGGGGUGUGGCUCAGCCCGGUAGAGCGCUACGUUCGGGACGUAGAGGUCGGAGGUUCGAAUCCUCUCACCCCGACCA
RNAcentral lists this transfer RNA (77 nucleotides) under Flavobacteriales bacterium. RNAcentral's name for it is "tRNA-Pro". It matches the Rfam family "tRNA". Rfam says of the family: Transfer RNA (tRNA) molecules are approximately 80 nucleotides in length. Their secondary structure includes four short double-helical elements and three loops (D, anti-codon, and T loops). Lineage: Bacteria; Pseudomonadati; Bacteroidota; Flavobacteriia; Flavobacteriales. The record is from RNAcentral.